RNAcentral lists this long non-coding RNA (1235 nucleotides) under Homo sapiens (human). Its description in RNAcentral is "HSALNT0302896". Lineage: Eukaryota; Metazoa; Chordata; Mammalia; Primates; Hominidae. The record is from RNAcentral.
AAUUCAAUGAGAAACAAUAUUCAGGUCAGGUCAAAGCCUAGAGAAAAAUGCGCAUUCAGAAGUGGGCUGCCAUCCUGCUUUUUCUGAAGUGAACAGCUGCUGGGUAUUGAAACCAGCCCUCACGGUUGGGUCCCUGCCACCAUGGCAACACUCUGGUUUCUGAGCUGGAGUGGCCAAGGCACAAUGGGGUGGUUCCAUGGCCCAGAAGCACUCUAGCUACAGAUUAGAAUGAUGACAAGAGUAAUACCUUCCUAGUGAAGAUGACUUUUAUUUCAGGACUAUAUUAAGUUUCCCAACUUCUGUCAUGAUAUAGUCCAAAGAGAACCUGGACCACGCAGACAUCAAACAGAACAUGACACUGACCCAUUCUAUCAGUGACGUUGUGCUGAUUGCACAGGACAGAUGAGAGGCUCGUAUACUAGAAGUCUUGAUAACUUGUUUUCUAGUUUCACAUGUCCACAGAUGAAGAAAAAUUGUGCCCCAGCAAGGAUUAUACCCAGAGCCUCAUCCAUUCAUACCUGAUUUAGAUACUUAGAUGAUGAGUAAUAGAAAAGGUGGUUAUCAAACCUGGGUCAAAGUUGAAUCACCUGAGGAUCUUUUAGAACAUACACAGCCAGCUGGACCUGCCCUCAGCUACCUCAUCUCUCUCUGUGACCUAAUGACAGAAAAGCACAUGAUUCUCUUCACCUGACUUCAUAUAUGGGUCCAUGUCAUAUGAUACUUCAAAAUCUGUGAUUCCAUGAAGCCAAGAGUAGCUCUUCAACAGGAAAUGAAUGAGUGCUUCAGCUUCUGAUCCCAUUAGUAAGAAAAUACAGUCUUAUGAGCAAUGAUGGAGCUGCAUCUCUUAGGGGCAUUUGAUUCCCAAGAGACCAAAGAGCAAAGAGAAUGUCAAUUUAAAAAAAUCAAAUGUUUCCAUGACUUAGCUAUUUAACUGCUUUAAAAUGAAUGAAUGCUGCUUCAAGUUCUUUCAAAUACCCCACAUCUUGGCAACAACGAAAGGAAUUAACAUGAAGAAAAUUUACAAUCUUUCAUCACAUCGAACAAUGUCCCACAUUUGAAAAGUUCACAGCACAGAUUUCUGGUUACUGAAAGAAAGGAAAGACCUUCUUUGGAUUUGAAUAAACAGAUGGACUUUCUUCUCCUUUUUCUUAUAGUGCCCGAUUUGUGUAAAGGGAGGUGGGAAGAAAACAUCUUAGCUUAAAAGAGUGUCCUAUAAAAUAAAAGGUUUCAUACUU